Molecule: ribosomal RNA, 274 nt
Filed under: uncultured bacterium
Lineage: Bacteria
Description: partial 16S ribosomal RNA
Rfam family: Bacterial small subunit ribosomal RNA
Source: RNAcentral
AUACGAGGGGUGCAAGCGUUAUUCGGAAUCAUUGGGCGUAAAGGGUGUGUAGGCGGCAACCUAAGUCAACUGUUAAAUACUCCGGCCUAACUGGAGAUCAGCGGUAGAUACUGAGUUGCUAGAGGAUGGAAGAGAGAAGUGGAAUUCUCGGAGUAGCGGUAAAAUGCGUGGAUCUCGAGAGGAACACCAAUGGCGAAGGCAGCUUCUUGGUCCAUUUCUGACGCUGAGACACGAAAGCGUGGGGAGCAAACAGGAUUAGAAACCCCGGUAGUCC